This 492-nucleotide ribosomal RNA is filed under the name uncultured bacterium. Its description in RNAcentral is "partial 16S ribosomal RNA". It matches the Rfam family "Bacterial small subunit ribosomal RNA", at positions 29 to 507 of the family's 1533-position model. The record is from RNAcentral.
AGUGAACGCUGGCGGUAGGCCUAACACAUGCAAGUCGAACGGCAGCACAGUAAGAGCUUGCUCUUACGGGUGGCGAGUGGCGGACGGGUGAGGAAUACAUCGGAAUCUACUUUUUCGUGGGGGAUAACGUAGGGAAACUUACGCUAAUACCGCAUACGACCUACGGGUGAAAGCAGGGGAUCUUCGGACCUUGCGCGAUUGAAUGAGCCGAUGUCGGAUUAGCUAGUUGGCGGGGUAAAGGCCCACCAAGGCGACGAUCCGUAGCUGGUCUGAGAGGAUGAUCAGCCACACUGGAACUGAGAUACGGUCCAGACUCCUACGGGAGGCAGCAGUGGGGAAUAUUGGGCAAUGGGCGCAAGCCUGAUCCAGCCAUACCGCGUGGGUGAAGAAGGCCUUCGGGUUGUAAAGCCCUUUUGUUGGGAAAGAAAAGCAGCAGGUUAAUACCCCGCUGUUCUGACGGUACCCAAAGAAUAAGCACCGGCUAACUUCGUG